UUCGGGGGCUGAUUUUUGGGCGCGGCUGUGCCCGUGGCCUAUUUUUGGCACACGGAGGCCGCCCGCAAAGUCUGGGGCCAUUCCGAGUCCGGCGGACGAACUUCGCCCGCGCCCCCCACCAAGGCUAUAGCCCACCCGUUUUUUGGCCAUUUUUCCGCUGGGGGGUCUUGGCACCCCGACCUUCGGGGGCUGAUUUUUCGGCGCGGCUGUGCCCGUGGCCUAUUUUUGGCACACGGAGGCCGCCCGCAAAGUCUGGGGCCAUUCCGAGUCCGGCAGACGAACUUCGCCCGCGCCCCCCACCAAGGCUAUAGCCCACCCGUUUUUUGGCCAUUUUUCCGCUGGGGGGUCUUGGCACCCCGACCUUCGGGGGCUGAUUUUUGGGCGCGGCUGUGCCCGUGGCCUAUUUUUGGCACACGGAGGCCGCCCGCAAAGUCUGGGGCCAUUCCGAGUCCGGCGGACGAACUUCGCCCGCGCCCCCCACCAAGGCUAUAGCCCACCCGUUUUUUGGCCAUUUUUCCGCUGGGGGGUCUUGGCACCCCGACCUUCGGGGGCUGAUUUUUGGGCGCGGCUGUGCCCGUGGCCUAUUUUUGGCACACGGAGGCCGCCCGCAAAGUCUGGGGCCAUUCCGAGUCCGGCGGACGAACUUCGCCCGCGCCACCCACCAAGGCUAUAGCCCACCAAUUUUUUGGCCAUUUUUCCGCUGGGGGGUCUUGGGACACCGACCUUCGGGGGCUGAUUUUUGGGCGCGGCUGUGCCCGUGGCCUAUUUUUGGCACACGGAGGCCGCACGCAAAGUCUGGGGCCAAUCCGAGUCCGGCGGACGAACUUCCCCCGCGCCCCACACCAAGGCUAUAGCCCACCCAUUUUUUGGCCAUUUUUUCCGCUGGGGGGUCUUGGCACCCCGACUUUCGGGGGCUGAUUUUUGGGCGCGGCUGUGCCCGUGGCCUAUUUUUGGCACACGGAGGCCGCCCGCAAAGUCUGGGGCCAUUCCGAGUCCGGCGGACGAACUUCGCCCGCGCCCCCCACCAAGGCUAUAGCCCACCCUUUUUUUGGCCAUUUUUCCGCUGGGGGGUCUUGGGACCCCGACCUUCGGGGGCUGAUUUUUGGGCGCGGCUGUGCCCGUGGCCUAUUUUUGGCACACGGAGGCCGCCCGCCAAGUAUGGUGCCAUUCCGAGUCCCGCGGACGAACUUCGCCCACGCCCCCCACCAAGGCUAUAGCCCACCCGAUUUUUGGCCAUUUUUCAGCUGGGAGGUCUUGGGACCCCGACCUUCGGGGGCUGAUUUUUGGGAGCGGCUGCACCCGUGGCCUAUUUGUGGCACACGGAGGCCGCCCGCCAAGUCUGGGGCCAUUCCGAGUCCCGCGGACGAACGUCGCCCACGCCCCCCACCA
This 1389-nucleotide long non-coding RNA is filed under the name Citrus x clementina. Its description in RNAcentral is "Citrus clementina (C. clementina) long non-coding RNA (CCLE_LNC005048)". The record is from RNAcentral. Lineage: Eukaryota; Viridiplantae; Streptophyta; Magnoliopsida; Sapindales; Rutaceae.